Trichomycterus rosablanca is the source of this 745-nucleotide long non-coding RNA. RefSeq lists it as uncharacterized. Lineage: Eukaryota; Metazoa; Chordata; Actinopteri; Siluriformes; Trichomycteridae. The transcript is spliced from 3 exons. The record is from RefSeq and is a predicted model, not a curated record.
GCUGAGUACUCCCAAGUGACGUCACAGUCAAGCCAGGACCUGGAAUUCGGUUGCUAGGUGACAGAUGAAAUGGAACGUACCUGAGCUCUAUAUAAAGCGCAGCAGUGCGCUGAUCGCUCAGUCUUCAACUGACAGCUAAAGAGGAAGGACGCAGAGCGAAUAUCUCUCAGGACGAUGUUUUUAAAGUCUUUUUUCAGUUGUAAACCAGCUGUUUAUGUGGCGGGCAUAGCCGCAGUAACAUCUGGUUUAUUUGUUUACAGGUGGCAGCCGCAGAUCAGGAGGCAGCAGGCACCUGACCCGACACCUGCUCCAGAGCCUGACACGACACCUGCUCCAGAGCCUGACACGACACCUGCUCCAGAGCCUGACACGACACCUGCUCCAGAGCCUGACACGACACCUGGCCCAGAGCCUGACACGACACCUGGCCCAGAGCCUGACACGACACCUGGCCCAGCACCUGCCCCAGUGCCUGCCCACUAUAGCAGGUCAUAUUGCCUUGGCCCCACGUCUUUUCAUAUAAGGACGCAGCUUCGUAACAUGUACUCACUCUUCCCUGUGAUAGCAACUAGAUGUAGAUUAAACUCGGGUGGAUAAAGACUAAGCUCAUCACCAACAACGCCGGUGUGUGGAACUACACGGGGCAAUAGAUUGAUGAAGCGUGUGAUGACAUCCAUACAGAUGAAUUCCAGGGAUUGAUCUGAACAUUUUUUUUGCAAAAACAAAUAAAAAUCAAAAAAUAUGA